RNAcentral lists this long non-coding RNA (986 nucleotides) under Malus domestica (apple). RNAcentral describes it as "long non-coding RNA (MDOM_LNC006956)". The record is from RNAcentral. Lineage: Eukaryota; Viridiplantae; Streptophyta; Magnoliopsida; Rosales; Rosaceae.
CCUCUCCCUGAGUCCCUCUCCCUAUCCCUCUCCCUCGAAUCCCUCUCCCUAUCCCUUCCCUCCCUCGACUCCGACUCACAGUGCUCACGACCUCACCACUCUCACAGCGCUGUCGCGAGUCGCGACCAACAUCAUCACCCCCCAUCACCACCUCCGCCGUCGCAACCACCAUCAUCACCCCAUCACCACCGUCGAUGCUACUACCAGUACCAAGGCAAGUACCAACCAUCAUCCCUCUAAAAUUUAUGGAAUUUUGAAUUAGGUUUUACUAUUAAUGUGAAUUUCUGGUGUAGGGAUUUUUAGGGGUUUUAAGUUAGAAUUUGUAGAAUUUAUAGAUCGAUGAUUGAGUUAUAAAAAAUAUUCCUCUUUUGAUUUUUUUCAGAAAGAGAGGAAUUGCCCGCCUGCGGGAACCUCUGCUUCUUCUGUCCUUCAACAUUUAGUCUUUAAAUUUAGGUUUAUGUUCAAUCUAAUCGUGCAAGUGUAAUUACUGUUAAGCUUCAUUUCUGCUGUUACUAUUGCAGCCGUGAGUCCGUGACUGCUUUUAAUAAGUUAUUUUGUAGGUCCUAGUUGAGACUUUGAAUAGUCUUGAUAUCAGACGGUUGCUCCGGUGCCCGUAGAUGGGAGACAAGCUGCUGCUGGUGUAUUGAAUCAAAUUCAAGAUGGUAAGGUUGUUGUUUCCAUGGCACCCCAAGCGUCUGCUAUGUGACAAAUAUAAAUAAUAAAAUUCAUAUAUAAUGUGUUUGUUCUUUUUUUUUCUAAUGGUUCUACAGUUAAAUAAGAAGAAAUAAGAAUUUAAUUGUAUGGGUUUGUGGUGGAUGCUUCUCUGGUUUUGAAAUUGGAAACCUUUAUUGUUGUUCUGAUAGUAUGACAAUUAACAUUGUUUCUUGUGUAUAUGAGGAAUUGUUUUAGUGCAAAGUAUUGGGUUUCUUUGGAUUUUAGUUGUUCUUGAAUCGAAAGUAGUGAAACACUGAAAAUUCUUGAUACAG